GAUGAACGCUAGCGGCAGGCUUAACACAUGCAAGUCGAGGGGUAUUGGUUUUCGGACCAAGAGACCGGCGCACGGGUGCGUAACGCGUAUGCAAUCUACCUUUUGCAGAGGGAUAGCCCAGAGAAAUUUGGAUUAAUACCUCAUAGUAUAGUACUUUGGCAUCAAGGAACUAUUAAAGUCACAACGGCAAAAGAUGAGCAUGCGUCCCAUUAGCUAGUUGGUAAGGUAACGGCUUACCAAGGCAACGAUGGGUAGGGGUCCUGAGAGGGAGAUCCCCCCANACUGGUACUGAGACACGGACCAGACUCCUACGGGAGCAGCAGUGAGGAAUAUUGGACAAUGGGGCGCAAGCCUGAUCCAGCCAUGCCGCGUGCAGGAUGACGGUCCUAUGGAUUGUAAACUGCUUUUAUACAGGAAGAAACNCUAACUUCGUGAAGUAGCUUGAC
RNAcentral lists this ribosomal RNA (446 nucleotides) under uncultured bacterium. RNAcentral describes it as "bacterial SSU rRNA". It matches the Rfam family "Bacterial small subunit ribosomal RNA", at positions 28 to 473 of the family's 1533-position model. The record is from RNAcentral.